This 91-nucleotide non-coding RNA is filed under the name Aurantiochytrium limacinum. The record is from RNAcentral. Lineage: Eukaryota; Bigyra; Thraustochytrida; Thraustochytriidae.
UCGAAAGAAAAAAAAAAAAAGAGGAAAAAGUUGUAGUGUCAUAGUUUCCUUUAUUUGUUUACGUAAUACAGACUUUCAAUAACCCCAUGAG